Molecule: long non-coding RNA, 3092 nt
Filed under: Homo sapiens (human)
Lineage: Eukaryota; Metazoa; Chordata; Mammalia; Primates; Hominidae
Description: HSALNT0048211
Source: RNAcentral
GGCGGACGCGUGGCCCACGCACUGGAACGGCUCCACGAGUCUGUCACCCAGGUUGGAGUGCGGUGGUGUGAUCUUGGCUCCCUGCAACCUCCACCUCCCAGGUUCAAGCGAUUCUCCUGCCUCAGCCUCCCAAGUAGCUGCGAUUACAGGCACCCACCACCAUGAAGAAUGGCAUUUUUAAAAGAUGGCUUUCUUAAAAAAGGAUACUCAGUUGCUCUUCUACUCAUACCAAGGUCAUGAAAAGUGCCAAGGAUAAAACUGGCCUUGAACCAGCUAUCUUUGGAGCAAGAAGACCAAAGAAGGAACCAUCUGAUUGCUUGGAUAAAGUGUUGUUAAAAAAGGAGAGAGACAAAACAGAACCAUCUGGUCAAGGACUUGCUGGCUUCUGAUGUCUGCCUGUUCUCUUGAGGCUAAGUCCUGCAGACACAUUCUGGGACUGCACCUUAUGAGUGCUGCUCACUCUGUUUCCUGCAGAAGACAUACAGAGCCGUUCGCAUAGAGUAGGGCCAUGAUUUUGAUUCAGCAAUUCUUCAAACCACUGAUGCUGGUUGACCAUUUGACUUUGUUUUUGAAGUAUUUUUUACAUACAGUGUACAGAACAUUUCCGCUGGAUAUUUGGAUACUGAACAGGAGUAACAAGAGGAACAGCUCCUACCUCCCCCCUGCCCCUUCCCUCACAAGCCUGUGAGUCAGGGCAGGGGCAGCCACUGAAAGUAGCAGAGGCCUUCAUAAAGGAGAACACUUCUCCAUGUUGCCAUCAUGUGAAGAAGGACAUGUUUGCUUCUGCUUCUGCCACGAGUGUAAGUUUACUGAGGACUCCCCAGCCGUGCUGAACUGUUGAAGGCAAUGGUGAUGAAAGUAAAUAUUUAAAAACACUACCAUAGCUGUCCCAAAUUUCAGAAAAACAAGGUACCACUGGAACCAUUUAAUUUUGUUGGAACACAGAAUGACCAUCUUGUGAUCAGUUUUCUGCAUCUUUAAAAUACCUGGAAGGUCAUCUUUAAAUAGUACAAUCUGAUAAAAGUUUAAUACUUAGUGUAGACUUAUAUGAAUACUUCUACAUUCAUACAUUUUUGUAUACUUAUACAUUUUCAUACUCAAUUAAUGCUUAAUUCAAAAAAUAUCUGAGUACCUGCAGUGUUCCCCAUGCUACAUACUGGGCUUAAACAGCCAAAAAGACACAGUCUUUGACCUCAAAAUACUUUGAUUCUUGUAAGAAAAACUGACAAAGACAAAGAGAAGGCAAUGUGAAAACUUCUACAGUUGGGAUAACCUUGGAGGUUACAGGAUGUGGACUCACUGAAAGCUUUCUGCUGGACUUGAACUUGAAGCUGAAGUCUGAAGGACAGAUGGGUGUUGCUUAGCGAAGGGAAAGUAGGAAGCAAAGACCCCUGGACAGAGUGUAGCAGGCACAGAGGGAGCAUGACACCUUCGGGAGAGAGCCGCAAGCACCUGGGCCCAGAUCCCAGCUUUAGCUUCAUUAGCCCUGUGAACUCUGUAUGUCAGCCUUGACAUAGAAAAAAAGAGGAUACUAAACCUCCAUCUUAAAAGAGACUUGGAAGAAGCUGGGAUUAUAGGCACACCACCACACCUGGCCCCAGAAAAGGGAAUCCUUGACCUGCAAGAAUCGAGGAAUAUUGUUUCUGACAUGCUCAGUGGACCUACUGCUGGUGUUCUUAACCAUUUCCUUCCUAAGUGGAACUUCUUUUGAGGUUAAUGUUUAUAUACAAUUACUUUAACAUUGGAUUUGGGAAAUGGAACAACAUACUGCGGAUCUUUCUGCUACCGAUGAAAGAAGAAGGUUGAGUUUUACCUUCUAGAGCUUUACAGUGUAAACAAGCAGUAUUAGGGUUUGUUUUUACCUUCUCCCCUUUGGCCCCGUCACAGAAGCACUGGCCUUUGUCUUUACAGACACAACCCUAGGAAGAGGGAAAGAGAAAGGGUUUUGUUUAGAAACAGCUGAAUAAAUCCCAACCGGCAGGGUAAAAGCAAAUGCAUUUCUCUGUUCUUCGAGUAUUGGACACUAUCUGUUAGGAGCCAGGUGACCUUGUAGCAAUAUAUCAAUAGAAAUAUAUCAAUAUAUGAAUAGCAAUAAAGUAGAAAACUGAGAACAUGUUGCAUAAGGGAGAAAUGUCGGAUAAGAAUACAUCAUUUGUAUUGUACUUGGGAAUUUUAAGUGUUAAAGUAAUGGCCGUUUUUGCCAUUACUUUUAAUUACCUUUGUACCAACCUAAUAAUUUAUAUAUGGAAACGACAAAGCUAUCCUUUUUUUCAGGAUAAUAUCUAAUUGAAUCAUAAGAAAUUGCUGCUGUCAUAGUUAAAAAGUGGUCAAAUACUGGCAAAUUCUUAGGUUCUACAUAAUGUUCAUAUAUGUGUAUGUGUAUAUAUGUAUAAUGUAUACAUGUAUAUGUACCUUUUAUGUAGAACACAAUGUAUUUGGUUAGUGCCAUUACUUGGACAAUUUUUUUGCCAUUACUUUCAAUGGCAAAAGCCACAAUAACUUUUGCACCAACCUUAUAUAUAUUUGUGUAGAUUAAUAUGCAAUAUAUUCCAUAGGUGAUAUUAAGGUUUUCUUUGACUUAAAUAAUGUUUAAGACUGGGAAGAGGAUCAAUACCCAUUACACAUCUUUAAAGAGAACAAACUAACUCAUUAAUGCUAGUAUCAGAAUGUUCUUUCUUUUUUUAUUCUCAAAUAUUUUGAACAACAGAAUGUUCUUUCUUAUAAAACCAAAACCAAAACAAAAAAUUCAGCUGUGAGUUAGACAUACCUUAUCCUACCUAACUAGUCACUGUGACACACUUACCCCCCAGCCCUCACACCUAUGCACAUUCCAGCUCCAAUGGACAUCAAAUUUUUAAAACUUUUCUCUGCCAGCAGAGGAACAAAUAAAGAAAUAGUUUCAAAUAAUAGACUUAAAAUGUGUUUUGGCUGGGCACAGUGGCUCAUGCCUGUCAUCCCAGCACUUUGGGAGGCCGAGGCAGGCAGGUCACUUGAGGUCAGGAGUUUGAGACCAACCUGGCCAACCUGAUGAAACCCCAUCUCAACUAAAAAAUAUAAAAAUCAGCUGGGUGUGGUGGUGGGCUCCUGUAAUU